Long non-coding RNA from Microplitis mediator, 883 nucleotides. RefSeq lists it as uncharacterized. NCBI's taxonomy places the organism in Eukaryota, Metazoa, Arthropoda, Insecta, Hymenoptera, Braconidae. The transcript has 2 exons. The record is from RefSeq and is a predicted model, not a curated record.
UAUGAUACGAAAAUUUACAGUUUUUAAAAGAUUUUUUACUAUUCACUAUCGUAAUUUCAUUAAGAGUUUAUUGUAAUCAAUUCAAUAAGAAAUAUUACAAUGUUACUAUCGUAAAUAGUAAAAGAAUAAAAAAUAAGAUUUAAUUAUACUAUUUAUUCUUUUAUUCUUCCUUUUAAUUUACAGUGCUGCCUCUAUGUUUUUACAAUACAAGCUACAAAAAUUACGAUAGUUGGAUUGUAAAUUUUCUGAAAUGGUAUAGUAUAUGCCAUCUGAAGCGUUUACGUAUGAAAGACAAGUGUUGUCACAAACCAUGAUGUGAUGCUUGUAUGAGUGUAUAUAUAUAUAUAUAAAUACAAAUGAUGACAUCUACUUUGUCUGUAUUAUUUGUGGUUCAACUAUAUAUAUUUAUAAAUCAGUUCAUCUUUAUCCACAGUGUAGUGCAGAAAUAGAGGUUAUUAUUCAUGACGUUUUUCGGACAAUUGUAAAUAAGAAAUUUAAAAUAAAAACUGUACUUUCGUCAUUACAAACCUACAUAGAUUGUGGAAUAUAAUAAUUUGGUGGUGAUAAUCUUCAUUUGUCGACAAUGAAUAAUUUUACCCGGCUUUGCGAGAGGUAAAACAUUUCAAUAACCUCAAAUUAUGGACAUUCAACAUUUCUUUAUGAUACUGAAGUUAGCAGACGCCUAAUAAUUUUUGGAUUUUUUUAAAAAUGAUAAAUUAUAGAAAAAAAGUAUUCGAAAAAAUUGCACCUAUGGUUUUUUUAAUUUUCUACAUGUGCGUAUUUUGAAUACAAAUAAAUGAGUUAUUUAUUCAUAAAUUUUAUAUAUACCAAAAAAAUAUGUUUGAAAAAAUAUUAAAUAAAUGUUUUAUUAUUACUACUUCAA